This is a long non-coding RNA of Tribolium madens (black flour beetle), 458 nucleotides long. RefSeq lists it as uncharacterized. Lineage: Eukaryota; Metazoa; Arthropoda; Insecta; Coleoptera; Tenebrionidae. The transcript has 2 exons. The record is from RefSeq and is a predicted model, not a curated record.
UGUACGAUGACAGUAUGAUGACAGUUAUCCCGAAAAAUUUUGACAUUUAUUGCUUCUGUUGAAACUGAACCAGAAACCAGCACAUCACACUGUCGUGAUGGCUGAAUCAAAUUCUGAUUUUACACCAUCGGUCUGGGAAACUGAAGAGGAUAUUUUAAAAGACGUCAAGGAUUUUGACGAAUACUCAUUACAUUCUGAGGCCAAAAUGCCUCAAACUUUAGUAGACUACUAUGAAAAAAUAAAGAAAACCCGUGAGUUACUAGAUGAAAUUGACAAUGAGGCAGAGAAGCGAGAAGAGGAGCGGAAACAAAAUCCUCCUCAAAAGAAAGUUCCAGAAAAUGUAAUGCGAACCCCUGUACUUUUCAGAAUUCUUCAAAAUCGAGACAAGUAGUUGUCUGUGUUAAAUUUUCGUUGUUUUUUUUUUAAAUGUGAAUAAAUUUUGCGUUUGUGGUGUAAAA